Molecule: ribosomal RNA, 433 nt
Filed under: uncultured bacterium
Lineage: Bacteria
Description: partial 16S ribosomal RNA
Rfam family: Bacterial small subunit ribosomal RNA
Source: RNAcentral
AGCGAACGCUGGCGGCAGGCCUAACACAUGCAAGUCGAACGAACUCUUCGGAGUUAGUGGCGGACGGGUGAGUAACACGUGGGAACGUGCCUUUAGGUUCGGAAUAACUCAGGGAAACUUGUGCUAAUACCGAAUGUGCCCUUCGGGGGAAAGAUUUAUCGCCUUUAGAGCGGCCCGCGUCUGAUUAGCUAGUUGGUGAGGUAAAGGCUCACCAAGGCGACGAUCAGUAGCUGGUCUGAGAGGAUGAACAGCCACAUUGGGACUGAGACACGGCCCAAACUCCUACGGGAGGCAGCAGUGGGGAAUCUUGCGCAAUGGGCGAAAGCCUGACGCAGCCAUGCCGCGUGAAUGAUGAAGGUCUUAGGAUUGUAAAAUUCUUUCACCGGGGACGAUAAUGACGGUACCCGGAGAAGAAGCCCCGGCUAACUUCGUG